GAUGAACGCUGGCGGCGUGCCUAAUACAUGCAAGUCGAGCGAACAGAUGAGGAGCUUGCUCCUCUGACGUUAGCGGCGGACGGGUGAGUAACACGUGGAUAACCUACCUAUAAGACUGGGAUAACUUCGGGAAACCGGAGCCAAUACCGGAUAAUAUAUUGAACCGCAUGGCUCAAUAGUGAAAGACGGUUUUGCUGUCACUUAUAGAUGGAUCCCCGCCGCAUUAGCUAGUUGGUAAGGUAACGGCUUACCAAGGCAACGAGGCGUAGCCGACCUGAGAGGGUGGGUGGCGCGUCUGGAACUGAGCCUUCGUCCCGGCGCCUACGGGAGGCAGCUGUAUGCAGGAGUGAAGCAUGGGCCAAAGACGGUCGGAGUAACCAGGCGAGAGUGAUAGUGGUGUUCCAAACGGUGAGCAGUGGUAAGAUUGAUGAACAAGUGUGUAAGUAAAUAUGCACCUCUGGGCGGUAGGUGAUCAGGACGCGACGGCUCAGUUCGUG
RNAcentral lists this ribosomal RNA (497 nucleotides) under uncultured bacterium. RNAcentral's name for it is "partial 16S ribosomal RNA". It matches the Rfam family "Bacterial small subunit ribosomal RNA", at positions 28 to 507 of the family's 1533-position model. The record is from RNAcentral.